GAGGGUAUUGCUCAGUGGGAGCACAUGCUUAGCAUGCGUGAGAUCCUAGGUUCAAUCCCCAGUACCCUCA
RNAcentral lists this transfer RNA (70 nucleotides) under Camelus bactrianus (Bactrian camel). It matches the Rfam family "tRNA". Rfam says of the family: Transfer RNA (tRNA) molecules are approximately 80 nucleotides in length. Their secondary structure includes four short double-helical elements and three loops (D, anti-codon, and T loops). The record is from Rfam by way of RNAcentral. Lineage: Eukaryota; Metazoa; Chordata; Mammalia; Artiodactyla; Camelidae. RNAcentral also lists the same sequence under 1 other name.